Molecule: ribosomal RNA, 86 nt
Filed under: Porticoccaceae bacterium
Lineage: Bacteria; Pseudomonadati; Pseudomonadota; Gammaproteobacteria; Cellvibrionales; Porticoccaceae
Source: RNAcentral
GAUCCCAUACCGAACUCAGUAGUGAAAUGGUUCAUCGCCGAUGGUAGUGUGGGGUUUCCCCAUGUGAGAGUAGGUCAUCGCCAGGU